UACAGAGGGGGCAAGCGUUAUUCGGAAUUAUUGGGCGUAAAGGGCGCGUAGGCGGCUUUGCAAGUGACGGGUGAAAUCCCUCGGCUUAACCGAGGAACUGCCUGUCAGACUGUGAGGCUUGAGACCGGGAGAGGUGAGUGGAAUUCCUGGUGUAGCGGUGGAAUGCGCAGAUAUCAGGAGGAACACCGAUGGCGAAGGCAGGUCUCUGGGCCACUACUGACGCUGAGAAGCGAAAGCAUGGGGAGCGAACAGG
Molecule: ribosomal RNA, 253 nt
Filed under: uncultured bacterium
Lineage: Bacteria
Description: partial 16S ribosomal RNA
Rfam family: Bacterial small subunit ribosomal RNA
Source: RNAcentral